RNAcentral lists this unclassified non-coding RNA (341 nucleotides) under Hevea brasiliensis (rubber tree). Lineage: Eukaryota; Viridiplantae; Streptophyta; Magnoliopsida; Malpighiales; Euphorbiaceae. The record is from RNAcentral.
UCCAGUUUUCAUUUUAGUUUUGCCCCUGUACUCUAUUACCUACUCAAUUUAGGAUGUACCUAAUAUGAGAUUAGCAGACUAAAGGUGAAAUGUCAAAGGAGUCAUAUGUAAAUCCAUACAUCAGCCACAAGGACAAUAUUUAAAUCAUAUCCAUCUCCUUCACAUGAAAGGCCUUCCAUGUAAGUCAAAUUACUUUUUUUUUAUUCAAUUUAGUUUGUAUUUAACAUAAGAUAAACAAUCUAAUGGUGAACUUAUAAAUCAUACCCAUACAUAUGCCCCUAUGACAAUAUUUAAAUCAUACACAUCUCCAUCAAAACAAAAGCAUUUCAUGUUUGUCAAAG